AUAAUUUUAAAUAUUUGGGAAUUUAGUCAAAAUAUUUAAUUUGCUCCCUUUUUGUUGCCUUAGGAAAUUGAAGAAGUGAAGAACAGAUCAGGCACAAAAGGCUCUCCUACGGCGUGGGUGAACCGGAAGGAGAAGCCCUCGGAUGCUCAGAGAUUACGUAAUGGCAUUACAUGUCGUGGGGCGCUACAUGCAGGUUCUCCUCGUGCGUAGUCUCUACCUUUCCUCUGGGGUAUUGCUAUUCGACAUCAACAUCAAGUGGAGUGAGUUUUGGGAUGUGGUACAGUUGUUAUUUUGCAAUUAUACUUCGUGAAAAGAUCUGUUCAAGAUUUCCAUUUUCUAUAUUUUCUAGAUGUUUAUGAAAUUGUUUAAUGUAUGUUUUUGAAUUUUUUUUGUACAAAUUAGCUAAAUGAAGCAUCUAAAAUUUUUAGUAUUUCUUUACAAUAGUAUUUUUUUUUUUUUUUUUUGUAAUGAUGUAGUAAUAAUAAUAAUUUUUCUGAUUGGGUAAACUUUGAACAAAUUGUGUGCACUUCGUGCUGAAUUUUGUGAAGCAUUUUCAUUUUUGUAUAAAAUUCAUGUCAAAUUGUGCACUAUUAUUUAUCUUCAUUUUAACAUUAUCAUAAUGCUAUCAUUUUCUUUUGUCUUUCAAUAUGUGUCAAUAUAUUAAAA
This is a long non-coding RNA of Centruroides sculpturatus (bark scorpion), 666 nucleotides long. RefSeq lists it as uncharacterized. Lineage: Eukaryota; Metazoa; Arthropoda; Arachnida; Scorpiones; Buthidae. The record is from RefSeq and is a predicted model, not a curated record. The transcript has 2 exons.